UGGGGAAUCUUGCGCAAUGGGCGAAAGCCUGACGCAGCGACGCCGCGUGGGGGAAGAAGGCCUUAGGGUUGUAAACCUCUUUCAGGUGGGACGAAGCCACUCGGGUUAAUAGCCCAGAGGGUGACGGUACCGCCAGAAGAAGCCCCGGCUAACUACGUGCCAGCAGCCGCGGUAAUACGUAGGGGGCAAGCGUUGUCCGGAUUUAUUGGGCGUAAAGAGCGUGUAGGCGGCCAGGUAGGUCGGUUGUGAAAACUGGAGGCUCAACCUUCAGACGUCGACCGAAACCCUCUGGCUAGAGUCCGGAAGAGGAGAGUGGAAUUCCUGGUGUAGCGGUGAAAUGCGCAGAUAUCAGGAAGAACACCCGUGGCGAAGGCGGCUCUCUGGGACGGUACUGACGCUGAGACGCGAAAGCGUGGGGAGCGAACAGGAUUAGAUACCCCCGUAGUCC
Molecule: ribosomal RNA, 448 nt
Filed under: uncultured bacterium
Lineage: Bacteria
Description: bacterial SSU rRNA
Rfam family: Bacterial small subunit ribosomal RNA
Source: RNAcentral